Molecule: microRNA precursor, 61 nt
Filed under: Microcaecilia unicolor
Lineage: Eukaryota; Metazoa; Chordata; Amphibia; Gymnophiona; Siphonopidae
Description: Mun-Mir-1329_pre stem-loop
Source: RNAcentral
UACAGUGAUCCGGUUAUGAUGGAUUUCUCAAGUAAUGAUCUCGUAGCUUGGUCACGAUAUC